Molecule: ribosomal RNA, 349 nt
Filed under: uncultured bacterium
Lineage: Bacteria
Description: bacterial SSU rRNA
Rfam family: Bacterial small subunit ribosomal RNA
Source: RNAcentral
CAUGGAUGAAAGCGGGGGAUCGCAAGACCUCGCGCGAUUGGAGCGGCCGAUAUCAGAUUAAGUAGUUGGUGGGGUAAAAGCCCACCAAGCCGACGAUCUGUAGCUGGUCUGAGAGGAACGACAGCCACACUGGGACUGAGACAACGGCCAGACUCCUACGGGAGGCAGCAGUGGGGAAUUUUGGACAAUGGGCGCAAGCCUGAUCCAGCAAUGCCGCGUGCAGGAUGAAGGCCUUCGGGUUGUAAACUGCUUUUGUACGGAACGAAACAGUGAGCUCUAAUAAAGCUUGCGAAUGACGGUACCGUAAGAAUAAGGCACCGGUAACUACGUGCCAGCAGCCGCGGUAAUA